Molecule: ribosomal RNA, 816 nt
Filed under: uncultured bacterium
Lineage: Bacteria
Description: bacterial SSU rRNA
Rfam family: Bacterial small subunit ribosomal RNA
Source: RNAcentral
AGAGUUUGAUCCUGGCUCAGGAUGAACGCUAGCGGCAGGCUUAACACAUGCAAGUCGAGGGGCAGCGGGGGAGGUGCUUGCACUUCCCGCCGGCGACCGGCGCACGGGUGAGUAACACGUAUGCAACCUGCCCCUGUCAGGGGGACAACACGGCGAAAGCCGUGCUAAUCCCGCGUAUAUCCGGAGGGGGCAUCCCCUUUGGAGGAAAGGUUUCGGCCGGACAGGGAUGGGCAUGCGGCGCAUUAGGUAGUUGGCAGGGCAACGGCCUACCAAGCCGACGAUGCGUAGGGGUUCUGAGAGGAAGGCCCCCCACACUGGUACUGAGACACGGACCAGACUCCUACGGGAGGCAGCAGUGAGGAAUAUUGGUCAAUGGGCGGAUGCCUGAACCAGCCAAGCCGCGUGAGGGAAGAAGGCCCUACGGGUCGUAAACCUCUUUUGCCGGGGGAUAAAAUCGGGGGUUUAGCCCCGACCGAAGGUACCCGGAGAAAAAGCAUCGGCUAACUCCGUGCCAGCAGCCGCGGUAAUACGGAGGAUGCGAGCGUUAUCCGGAUUUAUUGGGUUUAAAGGGUGCGCAGGCGGCACGGUAAGUCAGCGGUAAAAGCCCGGGGCUCAACCCCGGCGAGCCGUUGAAACUGCCGCGCUUGAGUAGGAUCGAGGUAUGCGGAAUGCGCGGUGUAGCGGUGAAAUGCAUAGAUAUCGCGCAGAACUCCGAUUGCGAAGGCAGCAUACCGGGUCUUCACUGACGCUCAGGCACGAAAGCGUGGGGAUCGAACAGGAUUAGAUACCCUGGUAGUCCACGCAGUAAACGAUGAA